AAUUACUGUUUGACUUCCUGGCCAAUAAGGACUUUCUUAAAGCACCAGAAAAGUGAAUAAUUAUACUUGGCUUAAGAAAUGUGGUUUCCUCCCACUGUACAAUGAUACUCUAAAUACAGAACUCAGUUAAGCUAUGAAAAGUAAUAAAUAUGGCCAAGACAGAAAACAGUAAAUUUUAUGACAAGAGGAGGAAUUCCUUGCUAAAAUGGACAAAAAGCAGCAUUUCACAAACAGGAAUUUUUGUUUAUUCUUUUUCCAUGUGCAUUCAUAGGCAUCCUAUGCAAAAGGAAGAAAAAACAUGGGAAAAGAACCUGAACAAUCCAGGCAGUGAACACAGAGCUCUGUAAGAUUCCUAUGCUGAGAAACAGAGUUAGCAGGACUUUUCAGAAAAGUGCAGGCUGGAAAGAAAAGGAUCAUGUUGUGUUGGCCUCCCAUCUCACUGCUGGCAAGCUGCAUCCUAUUUCAGUCUUGGUGUCAUUCACAUGACAUUAAAAAAUUCCCUUCUCCAGCAGAAGCCUAAGAAAACUAACAGGUGAAGGGAAAGACCCUGCUAGCUUCUGAAAAGGGCUGGACUCUCCUUCACCACCUACAUGUGGAGCUUCCUGUGCAUCAGUUUCUGGCCAUUGCUUCUUGUCCUAUUACUUGGCACCACCACACAGAACCUGGCUCCAUCCUCAACAUCCUCCCUUGAGAUACUUACAGACACUGAUGAAAUCCCCUCUCAGUCAUCUCUUCACCAGGCUAAACGGGGACAAUACCAAAUCCAGUUUUCCAUGAAAGGAUUCAAACUUUCAAGCAGAAGGCAAGACAACUGCCAGGUGAGCAAUUUGUGAUGCAGUUUCUGGGAGAUCUGCCCAAACAGUUUUGAUAAAUUUCAACAACUUAACUCUUAGGCUACUCUGCCUUAUCCUUCGGCCAUGGACUCGUGCAAGCACACCUCACCAGUGCUGUCUAUUCACCAGUAUUUGCUUCAAGAUAGCAGAAGAGGUUUUUAAAGCUGUCUCCUUUUUUGCAUGCACUUUUUGUCAAUGAUUCUCUAUCCUGUGUGCAGUGGUGUACAGUUUGUGUUCUGGCAGCAAAUUCCUGCAUGCCUCCAGUUCCCUAAACACUUUUUAGAACCCAUCCAAAAUUCUCAAGUCUGAUAAUGCUAGUAAACUGAUAUUGUUUGUCAAGUAUCUGAGGGAACAGUAAUAAAACAGAACCAAUCACACUCUCUUUGUAACAUCUGACUCUUAAUUGAGACAUAGUAAUGGUAUGGCAAGUAUUAAAAAGUAAGUAAAUGAUUAUGAGGUUAGUUUUACUGGAGAAAGAACCUUAAAUUUUCCUUUGGGUUUUGGAGAUCCAACUACCUGAAUACACCAUGCUGCUUUUGAAAGAAGUCAGUUUAUCAAUUCAAAAUGGAUAUCUCAUAAUUUUGCUCUGCAGGCUUAUUAUUUAUUGAUUUACAAUCUAUUCUUGAUUACUCCAACAGCAAGUAAACCUGUUCACAGGACUUCCACAGCAACUAAAAAAAAAAGAUGAGAAGAAAAUAUAAUCAUAGAAUGGUUUGCAUUCGAGAUGUCCAUAAAGAUCAUCUAUUCCAACCCCCUGCUAUAGGCUGGGAUGCCAUUCUCUAAAACAGAUUGCUUAGGGCCCCAUCCAACCUGUCCUUGAACAUUUCCAGGGAUGGAGUAUUCAAAAUUUCUCUGUGCCAACCUGUUCCAGUGCCUCACUACCCUCAGAGUACAGAAUUUCCUCCUAAAAUACUGUGUAAAUCUACUCACAUUAAGCCUGGCAUUCAGAAAUAUUCAGGUACCCAGGUAUCUGAAAAUGCCAUGCUGCUUGGGAAAGAAGUCAGUUUAUCUGUUCAAACCAAAUAUUCCAUCAUUUUGCUCUGAAGGUUUAUUACUUAUUGAAUUUCAAUUUACUAAUGAUUAUUUCAACAGGAGAUAAACCUGUUUCACAGAACUUUCAGAGCGACUGAAAAAAAAUCAACAAAAAAAUCAAAAAAACAAGAUCUGUAAUUUCAAAGGUCAGAAACAGAGUGAUGAGCAUAUUCCUACAGUCAACAGAAAUCAAAUAAAAACACGCAACAAGCUGUUGAUGUAUUUUGCCCUCUCCUACACUAAAUACAGACACAUAAUGCAGACGAUGCAUUGGUGCAUGUGAGAAUGGGGCACAGCAGUGGGAGAAGUAUGACAAAGGGGAAAAAAUUCUGAGUUCCUCAGAGCUGGGAAUCAGCACUGCAUCUAGAGAAACUAGCCAAGCUGAGAGGACUUUCUGGCUCCAGCUGCAAGGUGAAGACAUAGAUUCCAUGCUGUUUUCAGUCAGUAAAUCACACAACCAGAAGCCCACAGGAGUACGGAGGAACCAAUGGCACUACCAGGCAGCAAUGAAGCACAUGCAAGGCGCAAGUGGAACAGCCACAUUACCACGUUCCUGCCCAGUUUUAACCAGCCCUGUGUGAGCAGUGCACAGCAAUGGGAAGGGGCUGCUGGCCCCAGAUGCUGAGCAGAACGUUGGGUCCAUCCCUGCUGCAUGGCUGCUCACCUGUCUCAGGCAUCACGAGCCAGUGGUUUUGGUGCAUCCCCGGCUUCCAUCUUACCCACAGCUCUCUAAUCUCCAGGAUCUCUCCCAUUUUAAGGACUUCUCCUCCAGUCAGGAACUUCACCUUUUUCUGUUCAGGCCUCCCUCCUUAGUGUCAAGACCACUUCCUCCUGGAACCCCAGACAAGCCACUUCCCUUCAGGCCAGAUGUUUAAAGUCAGACUCCACAAUUCCAGGGAGCAAACAGCAAGCUGCUGCUUGAGACCUUGAAGGUUUGAAUUUUAUCACUAACCUUCACACAUACACUCAACUACCUGAUACUGGUAGUAUUGAUAAUUUAAACUUUUUUUUUUUGCCAACAAGACCAGCUAAUAUUAGCCUGAUUUCACUUCCAGUGAAGACAAGUGGAUUAAUUUUACUUGUUUCAGGAACUUUCAGUAAUAAGUAUUUUCAAAGAGCUGAUUAUUUGUUGCACAUAAAUGCAUUUUUCUGAAGUGGUUCAACUAAUCCAUUACAGUUGUUUGCCCACUGGAUUCAAUUAUUCAUAUGGGAAUAAAACUUUUCCAAAAAUGUUGCUAGUAUAAAAAGCUCCAGAAAUGUUCAUAUGUAUUAUAAAUCUCAUGCUCCUUAACAGAAUUAAGGAGAUAAAUGCAUUUUCAAGCUUUGCAGGGAUUAUUGGAGGGAGUCAUGGAACAAAAGAAAUAUAUGAUACAUUUUGUUAGCUUAUGGAUUGUAACAAUUUUUAUAUAACCAAUUUCUUUUAUUAAGUAAUAAUAAGC
This is a long non-coding RNA of Haemorhous mexicanus (house finch), 3304 nucleotides long. RefSeq lists it as uncharacterized. Lineage: Eukaryota; Metazoa; Chordata; Aves; Passeriformes; Fringillidae. The record is from RefSeq and is a predicted model, not a curated record. The transcript is spliced from 6 exons.